Molecule: ribosomal RNA, 471 nt
Filed under: uncultured bacterium
Lineage: Bacteria
Description: bacterial SSU rRNA
Rfam family: Bacterial small subunit ribosomal RNA
Source: RNAcentral
UGGGGAAUUGUUCGCAAUGGGCGCAAGCCUGACGACGCAACGCCGCGUGGAGGAUGAAGGUCUUCGGAUUGUAAACUCCUGUUGCCCGGGACGAAAUGUUCAGACCUAAUACGUCUGAGUUUGACGGUACCGGGUGAGGAAGCCCCGGCUAACUCUGUGCCAGCAGCCGCGGUAAUACAGAGGGGGCAAGCGUUGUUCGGAAUUACUGGGCGUAAAGGGCGCGUAGGCGGCCCUCUAAGUCGAACGUGAAAUCCCUGGGCUCAACCCAGGAACUGCGUCCGAGACUGUGUUGCUGGAGUACGGAAGAGGAGGGCGGAAUUCCCUGUGUAGCGGUGAAAUGCGUAGAUAUCGGGAGGAACAUCAGUGGCGAAGGCGGCCCUCUGGUCCAGUACUGACACUCAAGUGCGAAAGCGUGGGGAGCAAACAGGAUUAGAUACCCACGUAGUCCCUGAGCGGGCUGGCAAGGCGCAU